RNAcentral lists this ribosomal RNA (253 nucleotides) under uncultured bacterium. RNAcentral's name for it is "partial 16S ribosomal RNA". It matches the Rfam family "Bacterial small subunit ribosomal RNA", at positions 524 to 776 of the family's 1533-position model. The record is from RNAcentral.
UACGAAGGUCCCGAGCGUUGUUCGGAAUCACUGGGCGUAAAGGGAGCGUAGGCGGCGUGGUAAGUCAGAUGUGAAAUCCCGGGGCUCAACCCCGGAACCGCAUCCGAUACUGCCAUGCUAGAGGACUGGAGAGGCAACUGGAAUUCUCGGUGUAGCAGUGAAAUGCGUGGAUAUCGAGAGGAACACUCGUGGCGAAAGCGAGUUGCUGGACAGUAUCUGACGCUGAGGCUCGAAGGCCAGGGUAGCGAAAGGG